This 894-nucleotide ribosomal RNA is filed under the name Hyalella azteca. RNAcentral's name for it is "eukaryotic LSU rRNA". The stretch from base 550 to 894 matches the Rfam family "Eukaryotic large subunit ribosomal RNA", at positions 666 to 910 of the family's 3401-position model. The record is from RNAcentral. Lineage: Eukaryota; Metazoa; Arthropoda; Malacostraca; Amphipoda; Hyalellidae.
GGCGCUGCCCGAAAUGCUUGGAAGGCUAGUUGGGGAGGGUAGCGCCUGCUAAGCGUUGCUCAUGCCCGAGACAGGCGAGAUCGUUCAUGGGCUUUGUUUGGCUUUGCGGCCUUGCAUCUGCUCCUCUGGCGGUUUCGUGCUGGGCGAACCUCUCGAAGCAUCACACGGUCAUUGCCCACCACAGCUCGUUGCUUGGUCACCCGCUGAGUCUUGAUGUGCAGGAUGUUUCAUCCACUUUCCAGGCUAUUGAAGUUGACGCGUGGAUGGGCAGAAUCCCGCACGGAGGGCUUGUCCGUGCGUGGGUUGUGGCUCGCGUCACGCCUGUGAAAUCUGUGGCUCUGACUGCCGACUUGUGGACGUGGUGUGAUCCAUUCGGCGACGAAGCUGCAAUUGGCCAGACACAUACAGCUCCCAGCCCUCUCGUCAUGUGCCGACGGAGGGUACCUGCGGGCAGGCUGCUUGCGUCGCAUGCGAAGCAUACGCUCAGCCUGGGAUGCUGGUCUGAUUGGUGAUGUUCUGGCGACCAUCGGUCACGUCUCGAAACACGGGCCAAGGAGUAUAGCAUGUGUGCAAGUCUAAGGGUCUCACAAAACCCGAGGGCGAAGUGAAAGCAAAGGUGUGGCGGCGCAUUGCUGUGCCGUCAGCCAUGUCAAAGUGGUUGCUAGUACCGAGCUGAUCCUGCUUUCCCAUGCUGGGGACAGGCGCAAGCUCCGGGCUCACGAUUGUUGGUUCGGCAAGCUUCUCCUUCACGGGAGUUGCGGGCUGGACGGUGAGCACCGCGGAGCACAUAUGCUAUGACCCGAAAGAUAGUGAACUAUGCCUGGCGAGGGUGAAGCCCCAGGAAACUGGGGUGGAGGCCCGUAGCCGUUGUGACGUGCAAAUCCAUGGCGUCAG